GCCUCAAGAUGAGUUCUCCCCGACUAUAAGUCGGUAAGGGUUGUUGGAGACUACGACGUAGAUAGGUCUGGUGUGUAAGUGGUGUGAGCCAUUGAGCUAACAGAUACUAAUUGCCCGAGAGGCUUAACUAUACAACGCUCAAG
This 143-nucleotide ribosomal RNA is filed under the name Actinobacillus suis. Its description in RNAcentral is "partial 23S ribosomal RNA". It matches the Rfam family "Bacterial large subunit ribosomal RNA", at positions 2796 to 2925 of the family's 2925-position model. The record is from RNAcentral. Lineage: Bacteria; Pseudomonadati; Pseudomonadota; Gammaproteobacteria; Pasteurellales; Pasteurellaceae.